AUUGAACGCUGGCGGCAGGCUUAACACAUGCAAGUCGAGCGAGCGGCGGACGGGUGAGUAAUGUCUGGGAAACUGCCUGAUGGAGGGGGAUAACUACUGGAAACGGUAGCUAAUACCGCAUACCAUCGGAUGUGCCCAGAUGGGAUUAGCUAGUAGGAGGGGUAAAGGCUAACCUAGGCGAAUCUCCCUAGCUGGUCUGAGAGGAUGACCAGCCACACUGGAACGGAGACACGGUCCAGACUCCUACGGGAGGCAGCAGGGGGGAAGAUUGCACAAUGGGCGCAAGCCUGAUGAAGCUAUGCCGCGUGUAUGAAGAAGGACUUAGGGUUGUAAAGUACGUUCAGCGGGGAGGCGUUACCCGCAGAAGAAGCACCGGCUAACUCCGUGCCAGCAGCCGCGGUAAUUC
RNAcentral lists this ribosomal RNA (406 nucleotides) under uncultured bacterium. RNAcentral describes it as "partial 16S ribosomal RNA". It matches the Rfam family "Bacterial small subunit ribosomal RNA", at positions 29 to 526 of the family's 1533-position model. The record is from RNAcentral.